RNAcentral lists this long non-coding RNA (974 nucleotides) under Lepidothrix coronata (blue-crowned manakin). RNAcentral's name for it is "lncRNA (ENSLCOG00000016387.1)". The record is from RNAcentral. Lineage: Eukaryota; Metazoa; Chordata; Aves; Passeriformes; Pipridae.
UAUCUUCUCUGAAAGUGCUUUCCCAGGUGUCUGUGAAAUGACAGUUUUUUUCGUUGCUUACACUAGCCCAACCUACCUGUGAGGGAAAUCAGUUUCAGUGUCAGACUGAUGGUGAAUGUAUUCCACGGUCAUGGGUUUGUGAUGAUGAGGAAGACUGUGAAGAUGGCUCAGAUGAGCAUCAACAAUGUCCGGGAAGGACGUGCUCAAGUGAGCAGUUCACGUGUUCAAAUGGACAGUGUGUCCCGAGCACAUACUGGUGCGAUCGAGUAGAGGACUGCAUUGAUGGAACAGAUGAAAGAGCCUGCCACUACCCAAGAUGCGAACAGUUAUCAUGUGCAAAUGGAGCAUGUUUUAAUGCAAGCCAGCGAUGUGAUGGCAAAGUUGAUUGCAGAGAUUCUUCUGAUGAAGCUAAUUGCACCCAUGGCUGUACCAGCACGCAGUUUCAGUGUGCUAAUGGAGAAUGCAUCCCUCGAGCCUUCAUCUGUGACCAUGAUGAUGACUGUGGAGACAGGAGUGAUGAAAACUCUUGCACUUAUGCAACUUGCAGAGGCAACUUCUUCACUUGCCCAAGUGGCCGCUGCAUUCAUCAGAGCUGGAUAUGCGAUGGAGAUGAUGACUGUGAAGAUAAUGAAGAUGAAAGAGGAUGUGAAAGUGGUCGCCAUGAGUGCUACCCAGGAGAGUGGGCCUGCCCUGGGUCAGGGCAUUGCAUUCCAAUUGGAAAAGUGUGUGAUGGGACUGCAGACUGCCCAGAAGGAGAAGAUGAAACUAACAUCACCGCAGGCAGACAUUGCAGUAUGUGUUAGAAUCAAAAACAUACACAGAAUAGCAGAAACACCAGCAUUGAUAUCUUUUUAUAUUCACCUUUUGUCUCCUAAAGAAUACUGAAAUUUUGGAAGCUUGCUAUUUUCAUUGACACUGUUCUGACUGGAUGAUCUGAAAGAGGCAUAUAUGCUGCAAAAAACCCUAUUCCUUUU